CAAGUCGAGGGGCAUCGGGGAGAGCUUCGGCUUUCCCGCCGGCGACCGGCGCACGGGUGAGUAACGCGUAUCCAACCUGCCCAUGGCUGGGGAUAACCUUGCGAAAGCAAGCCUAAUACCCCAUGGCCUCCCUCUGGGGCAUCCCGGAGGGAGUAAAGGAGCGAUCCGGCGAUGGAUGGGGAUGCGUCCGAUUAGCUUGCCGGUGGGGUAACGGCCCACCUAGUCAACGAUGGAUAGGGGUUCUGAGAGGAAGGUCCCCACAUUGGGACUGAGACACGGUCCAUACUCC
RNAcentral lists this ribosomal RNA (289 nucleotides) under uncultured bacterium. RNAcentral's name for it is "partial 16S ribosomal RNA". It matches the Rfam family "Bacterial small subunit ribosomal RNA", at positions 58 to 339 of the family's 1533-position model. The record is from RNAcentral.